RNAcentral lists this ribosomal RNA (510 nucleotides) under uncultured Staphylococcus sp. RNAcentral's name for it is "bacterial SSU rRNA". It matches the Rfam family "Bacterial small subunit ribosomal RNA", at positions 17 to 507 of the family's 1533-position model. The record is from RNAcentral. Lineage: Bacteria; Bacillati; Bacillota; Bacilli; Caryophanales; Staphylococcaceae.
UCCUGGCUCAGAUGACGCUGGCGGCGUGCCUAAUACAUGCAAAGUCGAGCGAACAGAUAAGGAGCUUGCUCCUUUUGACGUUAGCGGCGGACGGGUGAGUAACACGUGGGUAACCUACCUAUAAGACUGGAAUAACUCCGGGAAACCGGGGCUAAUGCCGGAUAAUAUUUAGAACCGCAUGGUUCUAAAGUGAAAGAUGGUUUUUGCUAUCACUUAUAGAUGGACCCGCGCCGUAUUAGCUAGUUGGUGGGGUAAUGGCUUACCAAGGCAACGAUACGUAGCCGACCUGAGAGGGUGAUCGGCCACACUGGAACUGACGACACGGUCCAGACUCCUACGGGAGGCAGCAGUAGGGAAUCUUCCGCAAUGGGCGAAAGCCUGACGGAGCAACGCCGCGUGAGUGAUGAAGGUCUUCGGAUCGUAAAACUCUGUUAUUAGGGAAGAACAAAUGUGUAAGUAACUGUGCACGUCUUGACGGUACCUAAUCAGAAAGCCACGGCUAACUACGUG